AGGCAAUAGGCACCGGAAUACAGUUAGUAUAACAUAAAUCUUAUCCUGUCGAGAUGCCCCGUUAUAGUAAACACUAGACAUGGCCAGACUUAAAAUUGAACUUGAAAUUGCCGAAUAUUAGAGUUAAAUCCUUCUGGUAUAAACAGAACCUAGUAAAACAAAUUAGUUAUUACUUUGAGAUAAAUGAAGCACUUGUGCAUCGAUACACUGAAUAUGUUAAAUCGAUAGUGUGCACAUUGAAUUUCUCAAACAGUACAUAAAAAAUAUGAUUUAACAAGUGUUCAAUAAUUGUAUUUAAAGCAAUUGUGAAAUCUCAUGCCCUUAAUUUGUAAAGUGAAAAAUUCUAACACAAAAUAAAAACAGUGAAAUACAUAUUUAAAGUGUGGGCUUGUUGCUUUAGAAUACCCUCCCUGGAUUUAUGGGGAUAAAAUGGGUAUUGGUUUAAAGUAGAAGUUUUC
Bactrocera neohumeralis is the source of this 458-nucleotide long non-coding RNA. RefSeq lists it as uncharacterized. The record is from RefSeq and is a predicted model, not a curated record. NCBI's taxonomy places the organism in Eukaryota, Metazoa, Arthropoda, Insecta, Diptera, Tephritidae. The transcript is spliced from 2 exons.